AUGCAGUUUGAGCCUUAUAGGAAGGUAGCGGCUAUAUGUCGCAAUUUCAAUUCAGGACUAUUAACGGACACAAGCGGGGUAGAUCUUGCUUCUCCAAGCGCUCGAACUGAUGAGACCAUGUUCAGCACAUGCCAGAUCCACAAGGUGUGGGUUGGAGGUCCCCUUGUUGAUUUUGAUGGCAACUUCAUUGGGCUGAACUGCUCUUGUACCAAAGAAAAAAAGACCCGCUAUGUACGGAGGUCUGCAAUUCUUCGAUUCUUGGGGGUUCACGGGAUGGUCAGUGUUAAGGAAGUGGUUGAUGAUGCUACAAGAGCAUUCCUCAAAAGUCUGGCAGGAGAACCAUGUUACAACAUUCAAGGAGUCAAAUGUAUCAUUAAUCAUCUCGAAGAUACAUUCGACGAGGAUAUCUUGCAUAAACCAUUCAAAGGUGUUGCUUCAGAAAUGAAGCGAAGUGAUGGCUCUCUUUUGAAGAAAACUGCUGCCGAACUUGCUUCAGAAUCGAGCAAAAGUCUUGCUUCAGAAAUGAAUAAAAGUGUUGUCUCACUUGCUUCAUUCAAUGGAUUUGCAAAAAAGUUUGCUUGCACAGGUGUAUUUAUAAAGUGCAAUGCAUGCUCUGCAACAAUUCUGACUUCAGCAAGUUUGGUUUGA
This 648-nucleotide ribosomal RNA is filed under the name Triticum aestivum (bread wheat). Its description in RNAcentral is "partial small subunit ribosomal RNA". The record is from RNAcentral. Lineage: Eukaryota; Viridiplantae; Streptophyta; Magnoliopsida; Poales; Poaceae.